AAGAGUGCUUCAAAGUGAAGAAAAACACGAGCUAAAAAAUAUGAACGGUUGUGGCAAAUGGUGUUUCGUCAGUCUAUAUUUUUUCCACUUUCAGGUGUCACAAGACUCAACUGGCAAGUGUUGGUGAUCAGGUGUCUUUUCUCUGCGGUGGCGAUGAGCCCAGGAGCACUGGUCUGUGACUGGUUCAGCUCUACCACGGACACCGGAGACAAGGGGAGGAGUGCUGGCCUCUUUCCAGUCACCUGCAGGUGUGUUUGCAUGAGAGGCAGCGGAGGAGAGUCAGG
This is a long non-coding RNA of Oncorhynchus nerka (sockeye salmon), 284 nucleotides long. RefSeq lists it as uncharacterized. The transcript is spliced from 3 exons. The record is from RefSeq and is a predicted model, not a curated record. Lineage: Eukaryota; Metazoa; Chordata; Actinopteri; Salmoniformes; Salmonidae.